This 547-nucleotide ribosomal RNA is filed under the name Cicindela lusitanica. Its description in RNAcentral is "partial 16S ribosomal RNA". The stretch from base 116 to 475 matches the Rfam family "Bacterial large subunit ribosomal RNA", at positions 2075 to 2645 of the family's 2925-position model. The record is from RNAcentral. Lineage: Eukaryota; Metazoa; Arthropoda; Insecta; Coleoptera; Carabidae.
AUAAUUAUUAGUUUUUUAAUUGAAAGCUUGUAUGAAGGGUUGGACGAGAUAAAAUCUGUCUUUAUUUAAAUUACAAUAGAAUUUAACUUUUAAGUCAAAAGGCUUAAAUGUAUAUAAAAGACGAGAAGACCCUAUAGAUCUUUAUUUAAUUAAUAUUUUGAUAAUUUAAGAUUAUUUUAGUUUAAAGUUUUAAUUAAAUUUUAUUGGGGUAAUAUAGAGAUUAAAUAAAUUCUUUUUAUUUAUUACAUUGAUUUAUGAAUAUAUGAUCCAAUAUUAUUGAUUAUAAGAUUAAGUUACCUUAGGGAUAACAGCGUAAUUUUUUUGGAGAGCUCAUAUCGAUAAAAAAGUUUGCGACCUCGAUGUUGGAUUAAAAAUUAGCUUGGGUGCAGAAGCUCAAGAUUUUGGUCUGUUCGACCAUUAAAUUUUUACAUGAUCUGAGUUCAGACCGGCGUAAGCCAGGUCGGUUUCUAUCUUUAUUUAUCUAAAAUAUUUUAGUACGAAAGGACCAAAUAUUUAAUAUAAUUAUAUUUCUUUUUUGAAUAAUAUU